UCCGGUUUGUCACCGGCAGUCUCCUAUGAGUCCCCAACUGAAUGCUGGCAACAUAGGACGGGGGUUGCGCUCGUUGCGGGACUUAACCCAACAUCUCACGACACGAGCUGACGACAGCCAUGCAGCACCUGUGCAUGCUCCCCUUGCGGGGUCGUCCCGCUUUCACGGUUCUACCACAUGCAUGUCAAGGCCAGGUAAGGUUCUUCGCGUUGCAUCGAAUUAAGCCACAUGCUCCGCCGCUUGUGCGGGCCCCCGUCAAUUCCUUUGAGUUCUAAUCUUGCGACCGUACUUCCCAGGCGGCUUGCUUAUCGCGUUAGCUUCGCCACAAAAGGGGUCGAUUCCUUUUACAGCAAGCAAGCACCGUUUACGGCUAGGACUAC
RNAcentral lists this unclassified non-coding RNA (380 nucleotides) under uncultured Verrucomicrobiae bacterium. Its description in RNAcentral is "contains 16S-23S intergenic spacer region". The record is from RNAcentral. Lineage: Bacteria; Pseudomonadati; Verrucomicrobiota; Verrucomicrobiia.